GUUGGACCUACUCAUGUAAAAAAGCUGGGGUUUAGCCCUGUGUGACCACAAAUGACUGCUGGGGAUAUUUUAUACACCAGAUAUAUGAGCCAAAGAUCUCAUCUUAUGUUUAUAUCCAUUUCAGAAUCUGCAGAAACAAAUGUGAAAAGCCCUUUCAGACACUGAAAUCCUGUCCCUGUCAAGCGUCUCUGUUGACUCACUGACCUUAGAUGAAGCAAGUGAAUACUGAUACAAGACACAAAAUGACCUCAGCAAAGAAGAAGCCAAAACAAUUCCUUGAUUUUGGGAGAAAAAUUAUUCAGCCCCCAUCUCUCUUCCACCCACAGCCUCCUUCUGGGGGCUGUGACUUUGUCUUACGCUUCAGCAGGAAACAUAUUUUUGGCUGAGUUUGAACUCUCUAGAGUGCGUUGGAUCUUACAGGUAUACUGUCAAAUGCAGUUUGUAUCAGAGGGGGAGUGCUUCACUUGAGUACAUCAAAGUGCUAAGGUUUCCUGUAAAAUUGAUCUUCAUGGUUUUCCAUACAUGCCUAGUUAUUUAUGUUUUGUUAUUACACGAUUUCAAAUAAAGUAAAAGUUAAAGGGAAGAAACGCUUUCUGUGCUCUGUAAGAGGGAUGUGGGACCAAGUUCACUUCAGCAGAGAGCUGAGUAAAUUGUUGAGAAGCAUGAUAAAAUAAGAUUGUACAGUCUUCUGGAAUUUUGUGUGGGUCAAUGAAUAGAGUAGGGAAGUAUGUUCCAUUAAUUUCUAAGGGAUAUUUCCUAUGUAUUGAUGAAGGGGCUCGAGUUCUGUUCAACACCAUGGAUGAUAUAACUGGAGAUCAUUAAAUGAAUUAGCUGUAUUAGCUGUUCCACCCAGUCACGUUUUACAGCUAAAAUCAUGGCGUCAGACCAGAUAUUCAUUUAAUGAAAUACCAGCAGUGGCCUUUUCUUAUAGGCCAGGUAUAGACCCUCUAAACUUUUGGAAAUUGGCAGCUUAAGAAUAUCUUGUGCUGGGUUAUUGUGUUUAAUAGACAUGGGC
RNAcentral lists this long non-coding RNA (1015 nucleotides) under Accipiter nisus (Eurasian sparrowhawk). RNAcentral's name for it is "lncRNA (ENSANIG00000008600.1)". Lineage: Eukaryota; Metazoa; Chordata; Aves; Accipitriformes; Accipitridae. The record is from RNAcentral.